Molecule: long non-coding RNA, 291 nt
Filed under: Elaeis guineensis (African oil palm)
Lineage: Eukaryota; Viridiplantae; Streptophyta; Magnoliopsida; Arecales; Arecaceae
Description: long non-coding RNA (EGUI_LNC052625)
Source: RNAcentral
UUCUUUCUUUAAAUCUAUAUCUAGAAGAGAAGUAAUUUUUUCUUAACCGUGUAAGUGCUCAGCCUCUAUGGGUAUCUACUUAGGAUCAGCCUAGAACAGCCCUCUUAAGAUUGAAUUUUUUUCUCUAAGAAAAUUCAGCCUGCGAAUCUGAACAAAGCCUGGAUCGUGAUCAACUCUUUGAUCUUUUUCUUGAUCUUCUUCUUCUCUUCUUCUCUUGCCUUUCUUCCCUUGAAUAUGCUACUGCUAUAGGCCAAAAAUUUGCAAAGGAGAGAUGCCCAACAGCCUUGGGCA